RNAcentral lists this ribosomal RNA (506 nucleotides) under uncultured bacterium. Its description in RNAcentral is "partial 16S ribosomal RNA". The record is from RNAcentral.
GGAGUUAGCCGGUGCUUCUUCUGUGAGUGAUGUCCUUCCUGCCGGCUAUUAACCCGCAGGCCUUCUUCCUCACUGAAAGUGCUUUACAACCCGAAGGCCUUCUUCACACACGCGGCAUGGCUGGAUCAGGGUUGCCCCCAUUGUCCAAUAUUCCCCACUGCUGCCUCCCGUAGGAGUCUGGGCCGUGUCUCAGUCCCAGUGUGGCUGAUCAUCCUCUCAGACCAGCUACGGAUCGUCGCCUUGGUGAGCCGUUACCUCACCAACCAGCUAAUCCGACAUAGGCUCAUCCGAUAGCGCGAGGCCCGAAGGUCCCCCGCUUUCCCCCGUAGGGCGUAUGCGGUAUUAGCCUGGGUUUCCCCAGGUUAUCCCCCACUACCGGGCAGAUUCCUAUGCAUUACUCACCCGUCCGCCGCUCGCCACCAGGAGCAAGCUCCCCGUGCUGCCGCUCGACUUGCAUGUGUUAGGACUGCCGCCAGCGUUCAAUCUGAGCCAUGAUCAAACUCUGA